AUUUCUUCUCCUCUGAAUUCUUGAACUUUCUACCUUGUUGAAUUCUUGAAUUCUUUGAUUUUUGUUGUACAGAGACACACGCUUAAUCAUAUAUAUAAAUGUACACAUGUAUGUAUAUGUCUCUUGCUUGUAUGUUUCUUCUUUAUUUUAUCCUCAAUUUUGUCUCUAUGUUCAUUUCUUUCUUGUUAAUCUUCAAUUGAAUUGAAUUCUGUAUGUCUACUCAUUUCCUCUCUCAAAUUGCUUUAUUCUACUGAUUUUUUCAUCUAUUGAGUUCUGGAAUUCUUGUUAAGUAAACGUUUUGAUAUUUCACUCCUCUCAAUACUCUCUCCAUAUUUCAUUCCCCUUAAAUCUCCCUAUCCAACACUUGAUCAGAAAAAGGGAAAAAAAAUGCAAACUUGUGAGAGCAGAAGCUUCUCUGAGCCUGUAACAGAGUUACAAGCCUCAGCUGAAGAGGUUGCAUCAGUAGCAAAGAGCUCUGAAUCCGAUAAAGAAGUCUUUGCUGAAUUUGCAGUUCUGCUUGAGAAGUUCACACCAAUUCUCAUAGAAUUAAAGGAAAAUGACCAGCUUAUGGAUAGACCA
Molecule: unclassified non-coding RNA, 579 nt
Filed under: Hevea brasiliensis (rubber tree)
Lineage: Eukaryota; Viridiplantae; Streptophyta; Magnoliopsida; Malpighiales; Euphorbiaceae
Source: RNAcentral